Molecule: unclassified non-coding RNA, 405 nt
Filed under: soil metagenome
Description: partial contains 5.8S ribosomal RNA, internal transcribed spacer 2, and large subunit ribosomal RNA
Rfam family: 5.8S ribosomal RNA (bases 1-121)
Source: RNAcentral
GAUGAAGAACGUAGCGAAAUGCGAUAAGUAAUGUGAAUUGCAGAAUUCAGUGAAUCAUCGAAUCUUUGAACGCACCUUGCGCCCUUUGGACAUUCCGAAGGGCAUGCCUGUUUGAGUAUCAUGAACACCUCAACUCUCACGGCUUGUCCGUGAUGAGCUUGGACUUUGGGGGUCUUGCCGGCCUGUGGUCGGCUCCUCUCAAAUGGAUCAGCUUGCCAGUGUUUGGUGGCAUCACAGGUGUGAUAACUAUCUGCGCUUGUGGUUUUCCAUCAGAUAACCUUCAGUGAUAUGGAGGUUCGCUGGAGCUCACAAAUGUCUCUCCUUAGUGAGGACAGCUCUUUGAACGUUUGAUCUCAAAUCAGGUAGGACUACCCGCUGAACUUAAGCAUUUCAAUAAGCGGAGGA